AGUUCUUUUCUGCCUCGAGAAUACGCAUAAUGAUGAUGCAUGCGAACGCUGACGUCACCCAAGGCGGAACGUUCUACUUCAACAUUCUGACAGGAAUGAUUGCUGUUUUACAUCGGUCAUAUCGUGUCAAGUCAACAAGUCAAACUCUGCCUGGUGGAUGCGCUAAUUCAUCUCUUUUUCUGGUAUUCUGCAAAGGAGGUGGAUAGGGUCAGCGAAAGAAGUGGUGAGGGCAGAAGAAAGGGUUUUCAAUAUUGAUUCUGUCCAUCGAGGACGCAUCCGUUGCGACUCCGAUGAGCGGAGGGACUAAUUGUAUAGGGUCGAAUUUGACCAACCACAUACUACUGUUAACAUGACUAACCACCGAAUGUUUACGAACCGACACGAAGGAACCACCCCGGGGUGAGAGGAGGGACGACCUAGACCUGUUAUCGGCUCCGUUAUAAAGUAUACUGACGUCAUCACUCUAAGGACUCAGCUCGAGCCCCUUUCCUCCCCCCAAUUAUAUAAAGGGGAUCCAGACCUUCUAAAAGGUAGAUAACUUGUAAUAGAAUGAUUGAUUCUCUGUUUAGAUAUUUCAAGCAUAAGCAGUAGUUGAACCAGCAUAAUGAAAAAGCUAGCAAAAGGGCAGGCCCAGAGUCGGAUUCGGCCUAAUAAAGAGAAAGCUGGAGAUGAGCGCUAGCCAGAACGAAAUGGACAUAUGAGCGAUCGAUUACGAGAGCUCGACCGAUCAGACCUUGAUGCUGCGACUCAGGCAUUACUCAAUAGAGGUGCAAGGCUGACAGAAGUACCGAAACAUAAGCAAUUUGCAGGAAGUAAACGAAGUCUUUCCUUCCGAAAUCCACUCCUGAAGUCACGUCUUUCAGUACUGGGACUGAAGUAAAGUACUUUCGAGUUGCUCUUUGCCCAAAGCCCUCCUUCCGACUUAGUUAGAAAUACCAACUCUAAAUAGCUUUAGCAUUUCUUGAGUUGAAAAGGUAUUUAUAGAUUCUAGAGCUCAGGGGAAGGUUUGGAACCCUNNNN
RNAcentral lists this long non-coding RNA (1020 nucleotides) under Nicotiana benthamiana. RNAcentral describes it as "long non-coding RNA (NBEN_LNC003131)". Lineage: Eukaryota; Viridiplantae; Streptophyta; Magnoliopsida; Solanales; Solanaceae. The record is from RNAcentral.